Molecule: non-coding RNA, 1562 nt
Organism: Chelonoidis abingdonii (Abingdon island giant tortoise)
Lineage: Eukaryota; Metazoa; Chordata; Testudines; Testudinidae
Source: RefSeq, a predicted model, not a curated record
CUUUUUUAUGGACAUGCCUUCACUAGAGGCAGCAGAAAAAAAAAAACCUAAUUUAUAAAAACUUCACAACUGUAAAGUCUUUGGAUUCAUUCACUUCCCUGGCCUUUGUCACUGCCUUCCUCCAGCAUUAGCCAGCUAAGGAUUAUCUGCUGUAGCUCUAUCCAGCUUUCUCUCCUGCCUGCCCACUGCCUGAGCCAGAAAACCUCUUGCUGCUGCAGGCCUGGGGUCUUCAGUGACCAUCCUGCUCUGCUUCUUCAGGUAAGCCUGGUUGUUGGGCUGCUCUCCUCUGCCUCAUCUUAUCCCGCCUUGUUCAGACCAGUGCUUUGAGAAGUGGUAAUUUGAUAAAUGCCUUGGUUUGUGAAGCUCGGAAAUGCACUAGUUACAGUAACAAACAAGUAUAUUUUUCUGGAAAAAAUGAGCCUGUAAUAGCCUACUCAACGCUGCUCCAAAAAGAGAAACACUUACGAGCUUUACAGACUUCUUUUCUACUUCAAUUUUUAAAAAUAUUGUGGCAAGACCAGUACCAUUAAAGACAAUGACAAGUAAACUAUCAACAUUAACAAUUACAUACUUAUAAACACCCCCUGACUUUGUGCCACACUAAUCCAAACCUGGACCACCUCCUUGUCUACCUAAAAAAAUGCCUCAUAUUUAUGGAGCAGCAAAUGCUAUUUCCAUAAGAGAUUUUGACUGGAGAGUAAUCAGGCAAAUUCUUAGUCUGUUAUAUAAAGAGUGAAAAACAUCUUUAGUACAAGGUCUCAGAGACCUAUUAUGUCAGAACAAAUCAAUGACAAGAGCUAUGCUACUAUUAAACAAAACAAUAGCUGUCACAUUAUUUUAAAGUAAGUCAUAAACUGUCAAAAGCUAGGAGAUUAUGAAAUUUUACUGCUGGCCCCUUGCCUGAGCCCUUGUGUCUAGACAUUACAGCAGAUGAGCUGGGUUAAAAAGAAAUAAGUGCUACAGUUCCUCUGACAGCAUGGGACACUGAAGUAUAUGAAUUGUAAAGGACUUUGCUUCUCUUGCACAAAACUGGGUGGCUGCUCCAAACAGCGUUGAGUAGGCAGGUGGUUUGGGCUGGACUUGGGGGAUGCUGCAGCAUAGGAUAUCAAAACCAUUUAAGGUCUGGUCUCACAUGCGUCUGAAGAUUUGAGAAGUUACCCAAACACCUGAGUUGGAAUCUUUUAUACUUUAACAGAAAUUGACAGGCUUAAGCAAAGACUCUCUGGCCUGGAAAAUGCACCUGCCCUCCUCACAAUUGCCACCUCAGCAGGAAAAGUUGUGUGUGCAUGGUCAUGCAGAACACCAUGGAAAACUAGAGAGCUGUGGCUCCUCAGUUCAUGCAUAAGGGGAGAGCUCAUCUGCUGCACAAAGGACUGGCACAAGUGAAGAAGGGAUAAAGGAGCUGGUGCUUGGUUGCUGAGCAACCAGAUGAUUGUGGAGUCAACUCAAGCAAGAAGCAUGCAAAAAGAAGCAAAAAGCGUGAUUGAUAAGAGGAACAGCAGAAAAAGGGACUGAAACACAGGCAGAAAAGAUGAAGACAAUAGAAACACAGGGCUAAAUCC